CCUGUACUACUUACUUUUAAAAUGUGUGGCUUAACAAGUAGGAUUUGGCUGAUGAGGAUGGAUGCAUGGAAGGACCAUUCAAGUGAAUGAAUGAACAAAGGAGCAGAGGAGAAGGAUUGAAGCUAUAAGAAGAGUUGGUGGCACACAGCCUUUCAUACUGUGGGCUACUGGUUAGCGAACUCUAGGAUAAAGG
Pezoporus occidentalis (night parrot) is the source of this 193-nucleotide long non-coding RNA. RefSeq lists it as uncharacterized. Lineage: Eukaryota; Metazoa; Chordata; Aves; Psittaciformes; Psittacidae. The transcript has 2 exons. The record is from RefSeq and is a predicted model, not a curated record.